Molecule: transfer RNA, 58 nt
Filed under: Schyzocotyle acheilognathi
Lineage: Eukaryota; Metazoa; Platyhelminthes; Cestoda; Bothriocephalidea; Bothriocephalidae
Description: tRNA-Arg
Source: RNAcentral
AUCACAAAAAAAAUACAUGUUUCGGCCAUGUAAAUGGUUAAAAUCUAACCUUGUGAUU